RNAcentral lists this ribosomal RNA (2925 nucleotides) under Escherichia coli. RNAcentral's name for it is "bacterial LSU rRNA". It matches the Rfam family "Bacterial large subunit ribosomal RNA". Lineage: Bacteria; Pseudomonadati; Pseudomonadota; Gammaproteobacteria; Enterobacterales; Enterobacteriaceae. The record is from RNAcentral. RNAcentral also lists the same sequence under 2 other names.
GGGUUGUGAGGUUAAGCGACUAAGCGUACACGGUGGAUGCCCUGGCAGUCAGAGGCGAUGAAGGACGUGCUAAUCUGCGAUAAGCGUCGGUGAGGUGAUAUGAACCGUUAUAACCGGCGAUUUCCGAAUGGGGAAACCCAGUGUGUUUCGACACACUAUCAUUAACUGAAUCCAUAGGUUAAUGAGGCGAACCGGGGGAACUGAAACAUCUAAGUACCCCGAGGAAAAGAAAUCAACCGAGAUUCCCCCAGUAGCGGCGAGCGAACGGGGAGGAGCCCAGAGCCUGAAUCAGUGUGUGUGUUAGUGGAAGCGUCUGGAAAGGCGCGCGAUACAGGGUGACAGCCCCGUACACAAAAAUGCACAUACUGUGAGCUCGAUGAGUAGGGCGGGACACGUGGUAUCCUGUCUGAAUAUGGGGGGACCAUCCUCCAAGGCUAAAUACUCCUGACUGACCGAUAGUGAACCAGUACCGUGAGGGAAAGGCGAAAAGAACCCCGGCGAGGGGAGUGAAAAAGAACCUGAAACCGUGUACGUACAAGCAGUGGGAGCCUCUUAAUGGGGUGACUGCGUACCUUUUGUAUAAUGGGUCAGCGACUUAUAUUCUGUAGCAAGGUUAACCGAAUAGGGGAGCCGAAGGGAAACCGAGUCUUAACUGGGCGUUAAGUUGCAGGGUAUAGACCCGAAACCCGGUGAUCUAGCCAUGGGCAGGUUGAAGGUUGGGUAACACUAACUGGAGGACCGAACCGACUAAUGUUGAAAAAUUAGCGGAUGACUUGUGGCUGGGGGUGAAAGGCCAAUCAAACCGGGAGAUAGCUGGUUCUCCCCGAAAGCUAUUUAGGUAGCGCCUCGUGAAUUCAUCUCCGGGGGUAGAGCACUGUUUCGGCAAGGGGGUCAUCCCGACUUACCAACCCGAUGCAAACUGCGAAUACCGGAGAAUGUUAUCACGGGAGACACACGGCGGGUGCUAACGUCCGUCGUGAAGAGGGAAACAACCCAGACCGCCAGCUAAGGUCCCAAAGUCAUGGUUAAGUGGGAAACGAUGUGGGAAGGCCCAGACAGCCAGGAUGUUGGCUUAGAAGCAGCCAUCAUUUAAAGAAAGCGUAAUAGCUCACUGGUCGAGUCGGCCUGCGCGGAAGAUGUAACGGGGCUAAACCAUGCACCGAAGCUGCGGCAGCGACACUAUGUGUUGUUGGGUAGGGGAGCGUUCUGUAAGCCUGUGAAGGUGUACUGUGAGGUAUGCUGGAGGUAUCAGAAGUGCGAAUGCUGACAUAAGUAACGAUAAAGCGGGUGAAAAGCCCGCUCGCCGGAAGACCAAGGGUUCCUGUCCAACGUUAAUCGGGGCAGGGUGAGUCGACCCCUAAGGCGAGGCCGAAAGGCGUAGUCGAUGGGAAACAGGUUAAUAUUCCUGUACUUGGUGUUACUGCGAAGGGGGGACGGAGAAGGCUAUGUUGGCCGGGCGACGGUUGUCCCGGUUUAAGCGUGUAGGCUGGUUUUCCAGGCAAAUCCGGAAAAUCAAGGCUGAGGCGUGAUGACGAGGCACUACGGUGCUGAAGCGACAAAUGCCCUGCUUCCAGGAAAAGCCUCUAAGCAUCAGGUAACAUCAAAUCGUACCCCAAACCGACACAGGUGGUCAGGUAGAGAAUACCAAGGCGCUUGAGAGAACUCGGGUGAAGGAACUAGGCAAAAUGGUGCCGUAACUUCGGGAGAAGGCACGCUGAUAUGUAGGUGAAGCGACUUGCUCGUGGAGCUGAAAUCAGUCGAAGAUACCAGCUGGCUGCAACUGUUUAUUAAAAACACAGCACUGUGCAAACACGAAAGUGGACGUAUACGGUGUGACGCCUGCCCGGUGCCGGAAGGUUAAUUGAUGGGGUUAGCGGUAACGCGAAGCUCUUGAUCGAAGCCCCGGUAAACGGCGGCCGUAACUAUAACGGUCCUAAGGUAGCGAAAUUCCUUGUCGGGUAAGUUCCGACCUGCACGAAUGGCGUAAUGAUGGCCAGGCUGUCUCCACCCGAGACUCAGUGAAAUUGAACUCGCUGUGAAGAUGCAGUGUACCCGCGGCAAGACGGAAAGACCCCGUGAACCUUUACUAUAGCUUGACACUGAACAUUGAGCCUUGAUGUGUAGGAUAGGUGGGAGGCUUUGAAGUGUGGACGCCAGUCUGCAUGGAGCCGACCUUGAAAUACCACCCUUUAAUGUUUGAUGUUCUAACGUGGGCCCCUUACCGGGGUUGCGGACAGUGUCUGGUGGGUAGUUUGACUGGGGCGGUCUCCUCCUAAAGAGUAACGGAGGAGCACGAAGGUUGGCUAAUCCUGGUCGGACAUCAGGAGGUUAGUGCAAUGGCAUAAGCCAGCUUGACUGCGAGCGUGACGGCGCGAGCAGGUGCGAAAGCAGGUCAUAGUGAUCCGGUGGUUCUGAAUGGAAGGGCCAUCGCUCAACGGAUAAAAGGUACUCCGGGGAUAACAGGCUGAUACCGCCCAAGAGUUCAUAUCGACGGCGGUGUUUGGCACCUCGAUGUCGGCUCAUCACAUCCUGGGGCUGAAGUAGGUCCCAAGGGUAUGGCUGUUCGCCAUUUAAAGUGGUACGCGAGCUGGGUUUAGAACGUCGUGAGACAGUUCGGUCCCUAUCUGCCGUGGGCGCUGGAGAACUGAGGGGGGCUGCUCCUAGUACGAGAGGACCGGAGUGGACGCAUCACUGGUGUUCGGGUUGUCAUGCCAAUGGCACUGCCCGGUAGCUAAAUGCGGAAGAGAUAAGUGCUGAAAGCAUCUAAGCACGAAACUUGCCCCGAGAUGAGUUCUCCCUGACUCCUUGAGAGUCCUGAAGGAACGUUGAAGACGACGACGUUGAUAGGCCGGGUGUGUAAGCGCAGCGAUGCGUUGAGCUAACCGGUACUAAUGAACCGUGAGGCUUAACCUUACAACGCCGAAG